AACAACUGUGCAUUCUUAGAGUCCUCUGC
This 29-nucleotide non-coding RNA is filed under the name Cricetulus griseus (Chinese hamster). The record is from RNAcentral. Lineage: Eukaryota; Metazoa; Chordata; Mammalia; Rodentia; Cricetidae.